Molecule: long non-coding RNA, 1149 nt
Filed under: Equus caballus (horse)
Lineage: Eukaryota; Metazoa; Chordata; Mammalia; Perissodactyla; Equidae
Description: lncRNA (ENSECAG00000047699.1)
Source: RNAcentral
UCACCCCUAAACUGCCAACAGGCUCUUUCUCCAUUUGAGCCUGCAGAGCCUAUUGGUACAGUAAGGGACCCCUCACCCCAUGGAGCUGCUGGCCCUUCAGGACAGCUUUUGCAACAUGUCCCCAUCCUUCCUCAGUGCAGACAUACCCAGCUGGUCCCAUUAACUCUGCGCUAUUGUAAAACAAUCACAUUAACCAGACCUGAGGAUAUUGGCUGAGAACAUUCUGGUUUCUCUCACGUUCUAAGGGAGCUCUUGAGGUCAGAGACUCUCACCUCCACAUUCUGGACCCCUCAGAACCUCAAUCCAGAGUGAUGAACUUGGAAGCUGCUUCCAAAACGUUUCUGUUGAUUUUGAUAAGCUGAAAGCCCCCAGUUUGGGGUAAAGUGAAAACAUCCUUUGUUCUGAGGAGAAAAGAGUUUACAUUGGCCUUUGUGGCAACUUUUAAUCACUGCUUUAUUUUAAAAAAAAAAUUAAAAUAAGAAAGUACUGUGUGAGUCUUCCAGCUUUCCAGGGACUUUGAGCUUCCAAGAGCUAGAAGCCAUUUCCCGAUUCAGACGCUUAGGUCAUCUGCGAGUGGGACAGCAGCGCCAUCCAGUGGCCGUCUUGCGCAGCAGCUCCUCUGUAUUCCUCAACCCGUAGUAUUUUUCCUUCUGCUCCAGAACAUGCAGUCUCGGAAGUCCUGUAGUAUAGAAACUUGUUUUCCCAAAGUCACUUGGAUAUACCUUCUUUUUUUUUUCCCCUUGGUUCAACAUCUGUUAACUUUUUGAAGAAUUAAUGUUCUACGGAAUUUCUUGGAGAAAAAAUUUUCUCAAAGUGUGGUCCAAGGACCUUCUGUGGGGGUUUUCAAGAGUCUUUUAGGGGUUCUGCAAGGUUAAAAUUAUUUUUGUAGUACUAAGACAUUAUUCGCGUUUUUGUUCUCAUUCUUUCUUGCAUGUGCAGUGUAGUUCUCCAGGGGCUACGUGACUUAAACAAAGCUUUUGGAGGGGCCGGUUCUGGGGCCGAGUGAAGUUCGCGCGCUCCGCUGCCGUGGCCUAGGGUUCGGAUCCUGGCCGCGGACAUGGCACUGCUCAUCAGGCCACGUUGAGGCGGCGUCCCAUAUCCCACAACUAGAAGGACCUGCAACUAAGAUAUACUACUGUGUACGGGGGG